UAGGGAAUAUUGGACAAUGGGCGCAAGCCUGAUCCAGCCAUGCCGCGUGAGUGAUGAAGGCCCUAGGGUUGUAAAGCUCUUUCACCGGUGAAGAUAAUGACGGUAACCGGAGAAGAAGCCCCGGCUAACUUCGUGCCAGCAGCCGCGGUAAUACGAAGGGGGCUAGCGUUGUUCGGAUUUACUGGGCGUAAAGCGCACGUAGGCGGACUUUUAAGUCAGGGGUGAAAUCCCGGGGCUCAACCCCGGAACUGCCUUUGAUACUGGAAGUCUUGAGGAUGGUAGGGGUGAGUGGAAUUCCGGGUGUAGAGGUGAAAUUCGUAGAUAUUCGGAGGAACACCAGGGGCGAAGGCGGCUGACAGGACCAUUACUGACGCUGAGGUGCGAAAGCGUGGGGAGGAAACAGG
This 404-nucleotide ribosomal RNA is filed under the name Actinomycetes bacterium. Its description in RNAcentral is "Actinobacteria bacterium partial 16S ribosomal RNA". It matches the Rfam family "Bacterial small subunit ribosomal RNA", at positions 355 to 776 of the family's 1533-position model. The record is from RNAcentral. Lineage: Bacteria; Bacillati; Actinomycetota; Actinomycetes.